GACGAACGCUGGCGGCGUGCCUAAUACAUGCAAGUCGAGCGGAUUCAUCCUUCGGGAUGAGUUAGCGGCGGACGGGUGAGUAACACGUAGGUAACCUGCCUAUAAGACUGGGAUAACUAU
Molecule: ribosomal RNA, 120 nt
Filed under: uncultured bacterium
Lineage: Bacteria
Description: partial 16S ribosomal RNA
Rfam family: Bacterial small subunit ribosomal RNA
Source: RNAcentral